CUCUAUGUGACCUAGAGUAGUGUCUAGGGGAUACAUGUGCUGUACAACUCUGCACAGUAUUCUAGCGCUAGCUAUGUAGGGGCUCAGGCAAGUACAGCAGAGACACAAGUGAAGAUCCGUGAUCCCUUCAGGAGAGGCUCAUCCCUGGCAUUGCUGCAGUUGGAUGAGCCUGGCUGCUCCUGCUGUGAAGCGCUGCCUACUCUCCUUCCCACUCUGAAGAGAGAUGGGUUUAGCACCAGACAAACUAUUACAAGAAGCUGUGCCAAUUAGUGUUACUAAAUCAUGGGUCUUUAGGAUUUGCUGUCUGUGCUACAGAGUUGAAGACUUGGGGAGUUCUGGCAGAAAAGACACCAGUGUUCAGGGAUAAAUAAAAUGACACAGUUGCAUGGGUUCAACUUUUAGGUUACCUUUGGAAAAUGCUGAACAUGAAGAUGAAACAGAAGAUGAAAGUCUCUUUCAUGUGAAGAUAUAAAAAGAAUGAGACAUGAAGACCUGGCAUGUGACUCAGUGACUUAACUUGAAUUUAAUAAGCAGGAACCCAACCUGUGUAGAAGGGUCAGUGUGCCAAGACAAGAAGCCACAGCUCUGCCAUUUCACAGUUCACAUUCUUGCAGCAUUACUACACUGGCUGUGAACAUAGGGAAUUAAUAUGAUCUCAUUCCAAACAACCAAGAUCAAUGGACCUGAGGAAUGUACUCUGCAGAUAAACAAAAUAAAGGCUGUAUAUAUCAUAGCUUGAACCCAGCCAUGGCACAGCACUGCCUGCAUAUGCCAUGUUGAGGAUGAAGAAGACACACAUGCUGCUGCUUCUGCUUCCUGACUUGUCAUGUCACACAACUGGUAUAACUGAAUAUGAAUGUGAUUGGUGGCUAAAAUACUGAUUUCUGCAGAAAUGGAAGUUAAAAACAGAGUCUCUCAGAAGAUGGGUGGGAAGGACACGUGGUGGCCCUGGGUCCAUUUGGGAAUUUCCCAUAUCCACACUGAUACUAGUGGUAGAGUUGAUGCUGGGAGUGAAAUCCAAGUGACUGGGUAUAGAAAGACAUAGGCUAGAGAACUGGGGCAUGCUUUUUACAUAUAUUUUAUCAUGUUCACAUACCAGUUCAGCCAAAAACAUACUGCAUCUUGGUCAGCUUAUCUCACUUAAUUACCCUCUCAUAGAUGCAAACCAAUGUCAUUUGGUUAUUCAGGUGGGUUAUUUAAUCAAAGGGCCAAAAUCCAAAUCUCAGUCUCUCCACUGAAUUAUGGGAAUAAUUGGGUUUAAUCUCAGACUGCAGAUGGCCCUCAUUUUUGCUUCAAAGUGUGAUUGAAGAGGGUCUAUUUUCCCUCUUCAGUUAGAAAGAAGUGGAUUAAAUUAUUUUUUCCAUGUAUGAGAGCCAAAAAUCUCCCUAUGCUUUAUGCCUCUGAAUGAACACAAAUUUAUGAAUCUCACCUACAUGUCAAAUAAAGCCUUAUUAGCAGACUGAUUUGAAAGCAGCAUUCAUAGCUCAUCAGAUUUAUGCUACACAAUGAAACAUUCUACAGUAGACUCCUUUUACAAUACAGUUAAGUCAUAAUUUCAAGUAAGAUUUUUUUUUUUCUUCCAAAUUAUUAGCAAUUAGUUUGUCAUCUGGCUGGUAAAACCAUUUGUCCAGAACUAUUUCCACCAGGAAACUGAGGGUUUAGAAAUUCCAUGUGCUUCCGCACUUCAGAAUGAUACCACAAAUAUU
This is a long non-coding RNA of Calypte anna (Anna's hummingbird), 1706 nucleotides long. RefSeq lists it as uncharacterized. The transcript is spliced from 3 exons. The record is from RefSeq and is a predicted model, not a curated record. NCBI's taxonomy places the organism in Eukaryota, Metazoa, Chordata, Aves, Apodiformes, Trochilidae.